UACGUAGGGGGCUAGCGUUGUCCGGAUUUAUUGGGCGUAAAGAGCGUGUAGGCGGCCAGGUAGGUCUGCUGUGAAAACUCGAGGCUUAACCUCGAGACGUCGAUGGAAACCGUAUGGCUAGAGUCCGGAAGAGGAGAGUGGAAUUCCUGGUGUAGCGGUGAAAUGCGCAGAUAUCAGGAAGAACACCCGUGGCGAAGGCGGCUCUCUGGGACGGUACUGACGCUGAGACGCGAAAGCGUGGGGAGCGAACAGG
RNAcentral lists this ribosomal RNA (253 nucleotides) under uncultured bacterium. RNAcentral's name for it is "partial 16S ribosomal RNA". It matches the Rfam family "Bacterial small subunit ribosomal RNA", at positions 524 to 776 of the family's 1533-position model. The record is from RNAcentral.